AAUGGCGCGUGCUGCAACCCGCGCCCGCUUCGGAGAGAGAAAUGCUGGGAGACAGGAUUUCACCAUAUUGGCCAGGCUGGUCUCGAACUCCUGACUUCGUGGUCUGCCCACCUCGGCUUCCCAAAGUGCUGAGGUUACAGGCGUGAGCCACCGUGCCCGGCCGCGUUUCUUGCUCUUUAAGCUCUGCUAGCUUGGCCUCUGUCACUAAAGGUGCAGCUUCAAGCUUAGGACCACCCACCAUGCCCAUCCAGGUGCUGAAGGGCCUGACCAUCACUCAUUAAGAACAGAGGAGGCUGCCUGUUACUCCUGGUGACGCAUCCCUCCAGACUCUCUGCUGUUUCCUGCCUAGGCGUGGCUGCAGCCAUGGCUAGGAAAGUGCUGCCACCCACCCACCUGGGCCGGAGCUGGUUCUGCUCCUGCUGCAGGGACACUGAGCUGGCUAUCUCGGCGCUUCGGGCAAGAACCGCAACAGGCUCUCCUGGGUCCUGCAGGUUUACAGCCGGGCCCCUGCCUUGUGCCUCAGCUCUUGAGAGCUGCUGCUGCCGGGUGACCUGAUCCAACCUGAUAAGGUGCCAUCUUCAGCUACCACUGCAAGGCCCUGAGGGCAACAGCAGCAUGGCACUGCCCACCCAGCUGCUGAUGGCCUGGUGCCAGCUGGGAGUCCUCCCGGCACUUCGAGGCCACUGAGCCACUCUUCCAGCCCGGCCCACCAUGGACAGGGGUAUCCAGCUUCCUCCUCAACCUCGUCCUCUGCCCCUGAGCCAGUGACACCCAAGGACAUGCCUGUUACCCAGGUCCUGUACCAGCACUAGCUGGUCAAGGGCAUGACAGUGCUGGAGGCCGUCUUGGAGAUCCAGGCCAUCACUGACAGCAGGCUGCUCUCCAUGGUGCCAGGGCCUGCCAGGCCACCAGGCUUAUGCUGGGACCCAACCCAGUGCACAAGGACUUGGCUGCUGAGCCACACACCCAG
Molecule: small RNA, 970 nt
Filed under: Pan troglodytes (chimpanzee)
Lineage: Eukaryota; Metazoa; Chordata; Mammalia; Primates; Hominidae
Description: processed transcript
Source: RNAcentral